RNAcentral lists this ribosomal RNA (492 nucleotides) under uncultured bacterium. Its description in RNAcentral is "bacterial SSU rRNA". It matches the Rfam family "Bacterial small subunit ribosomal RNA", at positions 24 to 518 of the family's 1533-position model. The record is from RNAcentral.
UCAGGAUGAACGCUGGCGGCGUGCCUAACACAUGCAAGUCGAACGGACCUAUCAUUAACAGAGACUCGGUGAAGUGGUUUAGGUUAGUGGCGGACGGGUGAGUAACGCGUGGAGAACCUGCCCUGUACUGGGGGAUAACAGUGAGAAAUCACUGCUAAUACCGCAUAAGCGCACGGAACCGCAUGGUUUUGUGUGAAAAACUCCGGUGGUACAGGAUGGCUCCGCGUUGGAUUAGCCAGUUGGCGGGGUAACGGCCCACCAAAGCUACGAUCCAUAGCCGGCCUGAGAGGGUGAACGGCCACAUUGGGACUGAGACACGGCCCAGACUCCUACGGGAGGCAGCAGUGGGGAAUAUUGCACAAUGGGGGGAACCCUGAUGCCAGCGACGCCGCGUGAAGGAAGAAGUAUCUCGGUAUGUAAACUUCUAUCAGCAGGGAAGAAAAUGACGGUACCUGACUAAGAAGCCCCGGCUAACUACGUGCCAGCCGCAGC